UUGAGYUUGAUCMUGGCUCAGAUUGAACGCUGGCGGCAGGCCUAACACAUGCAAGUCGAGCGGAAACGAUGGAAGCUUGCUUCCAGGCGUCGAGCGGCGGACGGGUGAGUAAUGCAUGGGAAUCUGCCCGAUAGUGGGGGAUAACCUGGGGAAACCCAGGCUAAUACCGCAUACGUCCUACGGGAGAAAGCAGGGGAUCUUCGGACCUUGCGCUAUCGGAUGAGCCCAUGUCGGAUUAGCUUGUUGGUGAGGUAAUGGCUCACCAAGGCGACGAUCCGUAGCUGGUCUGAGAGGAUGAUCAGCCACAUCGGGACUGAGACACGGCCCGAACUCCUACGGGAGGCAGCAGUGGGGAAUAUUGGACAAUGGGCGAAAGCCUGAUCCAGCCAUGCCGCGUGUGUGAAGAAGGCCCUCGGGUUGUAAAGCACUUUCAGUGGGGAAGA
Molecule: ribosomal RNA, 443 nt
Filed under: Halomonas sp. M15-C23
Lineage: Bacteria; Pseudomonadati; Pseudomonadota; Gammaproteobacteria; Oceanospirillales; Halomonadaceae
Description: bacterial SSU rRNA
Rfam family: Bacterial small subunit ribosomal RNA
Source: RNAcentral